This 76-nucleotide transfer RNA is filed under the name Clostridia bacterium. RNAcentral's name for it is "tRNA-Thr". It matches the Rfam family "tRNA". From Rfam's summary of the family: Transfer RNA (tRNA) molecules are approximately 80 nucleotides in length. Their secondary structure includes four short double-helical elements and three loops (D, anti-codon, and T loops). Further hydrogen bonds mediate the characteristic L-shaped molecular structure. tRNAs have two regions of fundamental functional importance: the anti-codon, which is responsible for specific mRNA codon recognition, and the 3' end, to which the tRNAs corresponding amino acid is attached (by aminoacyl-tRNA synthetases). tRNAs cope with the degeneracy of the genetic code in two manners: having more than one tRNA (with a specific anti-codon) for a particular amino acid; and 'wobble' base-pairing, i.e. permitting non-standard base-pairing at the 3rd anti-codon position. Lineage: Bacteria; Bacillati; Bacillota; Clostridia. The record is from RNAcentral.
GCCCACAUAGCUCAGCAGGCAGAGUGUCGCCAUGGUAAGGCGAAGGUCGCCGGUUCAAGUCCGGCUGUGGGCUCCA